This 140-nucleotide small RNA is filed under the name Paenibacillus sp. RNAcentral describes it as "c-di-AMP sequence". It matches the Rfam family "c-di-AMP riboswitch aptamer (ydaO/yuaA leader)". From Rfam's summary of the family: This family represents a conserved RNA structure found upstream of the ydaO and yuaA genes in Bacillus subtilis and related genes in other bacteria. The ydaO/yuaA element is thought to act as a genetic "off" switch for the ydaO and yuaA genes in its native state. The record is from RNAcentral. Lineage: Bacteria; Bacillati; Bacillota; Bacilli; Caryophanales; Paenibacillaceae.
AUAAUCCGUACGCCGAAUUUCGAUAUGAAAACGGGGGAACCAUUAUUUUGGGGUGAAUUUCGCUUUAUCCAUAGCGAAUAGGGCAACCUGUGCAUGCCCGAAUCCGUCAGCUAACCUCGUAGGCGUUAUGCAGCAGGAAC